This 460-nucleotide ribosomal RNA is filed under the name uncultured bacterium. RNAcentral's name for it is "partial 16S ribosomal RNA". It matches the Rfam family "Bacterial small subunit ribosomal RNA", at positions 338 to 795 of the family's 1533-position model. The record is from RNAcentral.
CCUACGGGAGGCAGCAGUGAGGAAUAUUGGUCAAUGGACGAGAGUCUGAACCAGCCAAGUAGCGUGAAGGAUGACUGCCCUAUGGGUUGUAAACUUCUUUUAUAUGGGAAUAAAAUGUUCCAUGUGUGGGAUUUUGUAUGUACCAUAUGAAUAAGGAUCGGCUAACUCCGUGCCAGCAGCCGCGGUAAUACGGAGGAUCCGAGCGUUAUCCGGAUUUAUUGGGUUUAAAGGGAGCGUAGGUGGAUUGUUAAGUCAGUUGUGAAAGUUUGCGGCUCAACCGUAAAAUUGCAGUUGAAACUGGCAGUCUUGAGUACAGUAGAGGUGGGCGGAAUGCGUGGUGUAGCGGUGAAAUGCUUAGAUAUCACGAAGAACUCCGAUUGCGAAGGCAGUUCACUGGACUGCAACUGACACUGAGGCUCGAAAGUGUGGGUAUCAAACAGGAUUAGAUACCCCUGUAGUC